UAUCCUGGCUCAGAUUGAACGCUGGCGGCAUGCCUUACACAUGCAAGUCGAACGGCAGCACGGAGCAAUCCUGGUGGCGAGUGGCGAACGGGUGAGUAAUAUAUCGGAACGUGCCCAGUAGUGGGGGAUAGCCCGGCGAAAGCCGGAUUAAUACCGCAUACGACCUAUGGGUGAAAGCGGGGGAUCGCAAGACCUCGCGCUAUUGGAGCGGCCGAUAUCAGAUUAGCUAGUUGGUGGGGUAAGAGCUCACCAAGGCGACGAUCUGUAGCUGGUCUGAGAGGACGACCAGCCACACUGGGACUGAGACACGGCCCAGACUCCUACGGGAGGCAGCAGUGGGGAAUUUUGGACAAUGGGCGCAAGCCUGAUCCACCGCCAUGCCGCGUGUGGGAAGAAGGCCUUCGGGUUGUAAACCACUUUUGUCAGGGAAGAAACGGCUUUUGAUAAUACCGAGAGCUAAUGACGGUACCUGAAGAAUAAGCACCGGCUAACUACGUG
RNAcentral lists this ribosomal RNA (498 nucleotides) under uncultured Burkholderiales Genera incertae sedis bacterium. RNAcentral's name for it is "bacterial SSU rRNA". It matches the Rfam family "Bacterial small subunit ribosomal RNA", at positions 15 to 507 of the family's 1533-position model. Lineage: Bacteria; Pseudomonadati; Pseudomonadota; Betaproteobacteria; Burkholderiales. The record is from RNAcentral.